AUGUUCCCGCGGCUGCUGGCUCCGUCGCGUGAGGGGAGAAGGUUUUCGGAUCGUAAACCUCUGUCAGGAGGGAAGAACCCCGUAGGGAAGAAUACGCCCUGCGGUUGACGGUACCUCCAGAGGAAGCACCGGCUAACUCCGUGCCAGCAGCCGCGGUAAUAG
RNAcentral lists this ribosomal RNA (162 nucleotides) under uncultured Desulfovibrionaceae bacterium. RNAcentral describes it as "partial 16S ribosomal RNA". The stretch from base 29 to 162 matches the Rfam family "Bacterial small subunit ribosomal RNA", at positions 401 to 526 of the family's 1533-position model. Lineage: Bacteria; Pseudomonadati; Thermodesulfobacteriota; Desulfovibrionia; Desulfovibrionales; Desulfovibrionaceae. The record is from RNAcentral.